CGGACGGGUGAGUAAUGUCUGGGAAACUGCCUGAUGGAGGGGGAUAACUACUGGAAACGGUAGCUAAUACCGCAUAAUGUCGCAAGACCAAAGUGGGGGACCUUCGGGCCUCAUGCCAUCAGAUGUGCCCAGAUGGGAUUAGCUAGUAGGUGGGGUAACGGCUCACCUAGGCGACGAUCCCUAGCUGGUCUGAGAGGAUGACCAGCCACACUGGAACUGAGACACGGUCCAGACUCCUACGGGAGGCAGCAGUGGGGAAUAUUGCACAAUGGGCGCAAGCCUGAUGCAGCCAUGCCGCGUGUGUGAAGAAGGCCUUCGGGUUGUAAAGCACUUUCAGCGGGGAGGAAGGCGAUAAGGUUAAUAACCUUGUCGAUUGACGUUACCCGCAGAAGAAGCACCGGCUAACUCCGUGCCAGCAGCCGCGGUAAUACGGAGGGUGCAAGCGUUAAUCGGAAUUACUGGGCGUAAAGCGCACGCAGGCGGUCUGUCAAGUCGGAUGUGAAAUCCCCGGGCUCAACCUGGGAACUGCAUUCGAAACUGGCAGGCUAGAGUCUUGUAGAGGGGGGUAGAAUUCCAGGUGUAGCGGUGAAAU
This 592-nucleotide ribosomal RNA is filed under the name Klebsiella pneumoniae. RNAcentral's name for it is "bacterial SSU rRNA". It matches the Rfam family "Bacterial small subunit ribosomal RNA", at positions 99 to 687 of the family's 1533-position model. The record is from RNAcentral. Lineage: Bacteria; Pseudomonadati; Pseudomonadota; Gammaproteobacteria; Enterobacterales; Enterobacteriaceae.